Molecule: small nuclear RNA, 103 nt
Organism: Manis javanica (Malayan pangolin)
Lineage: Eukaryota; Metazoa; Chordata; Mammalia; Pholidota; Manidae
Source: RefSeq, a predicted model, not a curated record
UUUAUUUAUCCUAUAAAUCCUGAAAUUGGAAUGAUACAGUAAAUUAUUAGCAUAGCCCUUGUGAAAACAUGACAAGUAAAUUUGUGAAAGCUGUCAUAUUUCA